This 497-nucleotide ribosomal RNA is filed under the name uncultured bacterium. RNAcentral's name for it is "partial 16S ribosomal RNA". It matches the Rfam family "Bacterial small subunit ribosomal RNA", at positions 28 to 507 of the family's 1533-position model. The record is from RNAcentral.
GAUGAACGCUGGCGGCGUGCCUAAUACAUGCAAGUCGAGCGAACAGACGAGGAGCUUGCUCCUCUGACGUUAGCGGCGGACGGGUGAGUAACACGUGGAUAACCUACCUAUAAGACUGGGAUAACUUCGGGAAACCGGAGCUAAUACCGGAUAAUAUAUUGAACCGCAUGGUUCAAUAGUGAAAGACGGUUUUGCUGUCACUUAUAGAUGGAUCCGCGCCGCAUUAGCUAGUUGGUAAGGUAACGGCUUACCAAGGCAACGAUGCGUAGCCGACCUGAGAGGGUGAUCGGCCACCCUGGAACUUAGACACGGUCCAGACUCCUACGGGAGGCAGCAGUAGGGAAUCUUCCGCAAUGGGCGAAAGCUUGACGGAGCAACGCCGCGUGAGUGAUGAAGGUCUUCGGAUCGUAAAACUCUGUUAUUAGGGAAGAACAAAUGUGUAAGUAACUAUGCACGUCUUGACGGUACCUAAUCAGAAAGCCACGGCUAACUACGUG